UGAGAGCAGGGCCCAUUCAGGAGAGUCAUAUCACCUAGCUGCUUGGCCAAGCAAUAUAUCACAAUGACCCCUUUGCACAGGACCAAGACAAGACAGCUCCAUGACCAGGGAGCUGGGUCCAGCUAUGUGUCACAAUUCCUUUUGUGGAAAGUGCCCAGUUAGAAGAGCAGAGUCACAGCACCUAGGUGAUGGACCCAGAGAGAUGCCACAACGCCAUUUGUGGGCUGGGCCCUGGGAGAAGAAUAACAUCACCCGGUGCUGGGCCCAGCAAUAUGUUGCAAUCCCAACUGGAAAAAGGUGUAAGAGUCAACAACUCCUGAGACUUAGGUUCAAGUGCAUGAGUCACAAUCUCAACAGUGGAUUGCAUCCUGCCAUGAGAGCCCCAAUCCCUUCUCCAAGCUGUGUUCCAGUAGAGGAGUCGCAACAUCAAUGGUGUGCUGAAUCCUGGUUGGAGAGUUCCCACUUCACCUGUGGACUGGAUCUGUAUAUAAGAGGAGAGAUGUCGACUCUCAUGCCUGGGCUUAGGGCAAUGGGCAUGAUCCUACAUUUGGGAUUGUAGCAACAACUCUUGACUGCCCUUGGGUGUGAGAUUCAGAACCUCAAUUGUGACCUGUGUACACUUGGGCAUGUGACAAUUUCUACUUUUGGCUGUGUGUUCAUACAAGACUCUCAAUCUCACCUGUGUUCUGGGCCCUGUUA
Molecule: long non-coding RNA, 699 nt
Filed under: Homo sapiens (human)
Lineage: Eukaryota; Metazoa; Chordata; Mammalia; Primates; Hominidae
Description: non-protein coding lnc-SUMF2-5:11
Source: RNAcentral